This 517-nucleotide ribosomal RNA is filed under the name uncultured bacterium. RNAcentral's name for it is "bacterial SSU rRNA". It matches the Rfam family "Bacterial small subunit ribosomal RNA", at positions 123 to 674 of the family's 1533-position model. The record is from RNAcentral.
AACGUACCCUUCGGUUCGGAAUAACUCAGGGAAACUUGAGCUAAUACCGGAUACGCCCUUUUGGGGAAAGGUUUACUGCCGAAGGAUCGGCCCGCGUCUGAUUAGCUUGUUGGUGGGGUAACGGCCUACCAAGGCGACGAUCAGUAGCUGGUCUGAGAGGAUGAUCAGCCACACUGGGACUGAGACACGGCCCAGGCUCCUACGGGAGGCAGCAGUGGGGAAUAUUGGACAAUGGGCGCAAGCCUGAUCCAGCCAUGCCGCGUGAGUGAUGAAGGCCUUAGGGUUGUAAAGCUCUUUUGUCCGGGACGAUAAUGACGGUACCGGAAGAAUAAGCCCCGGCUAACUUCGUGCCAGCAGCCGCGGUAAUACGAAGGGGGCUAGCGUUGCUCGGAAUCACUGGGCGUAAAGGGCGCGUAGGCGGCCGAUUAAGUCGGGGGUGAAAGCCUGUGGCUCAACCACAGAAUUGCCUUCGAUACUGGUUGGCUUGAGACCGGAAGAGGACAGCGGAACUGCGAGU